UGAACUUUGUUAUGGUCAUUCCGGGCAACACAGACAGUUCUGGUUCAGUAUCCUGGAGGAUAUGGAGGGGCUAGCAGAAUUUCUUAGCAAUAGCAUUUGCUGGUGUUUGAGGUCUUCUCUGGGCCGAGGGCAGCACUGGGGUUCCACUGGGCCCCAGAGGAGGGUGAGACAAGGAUGCUCGGAGCAGGUGUCACAAGAGGAGAGAAUUGGGCUGCCCUGGGAGCAGAGCUCUUGCAGAUCUCCAGCUAGAUGUCCGCUGGGCACUGCUUGCAACCUGCCUCUCUGGAAUUACAGAUCCAGCAGCUGA
Molecule: long non-coding RNA, 307 nt
Filed under: Aotus nancymaae (Ma's night monkey)
Lineage: Eukaryota; Metazoa; Chordata; Mammalia; Primates; Aotidae
Description: lncRNA (ENSANAG00000039322.1)
Source: RNAcentral